UACGAAGGGUCCAAGCGUUAUCCGGAUUUAUUGGGUUUAAAGGGUGCGUAGGCGGCUUAUUAAGUCAGUGGUGAAAGACUUCAGCUUAACUGAAGAACUGCCAUUGAUACUGAUGAGCUUGAAUAUAGUUGAGGUUGGCGGAAUGUGUCAUGUAGCGGUGAAAUGCUUAGAUAUGACACAGAACACCGAUUGCGAAGGCAGCUAGCUAAACUAUGAUUGACGCUGAUGCACGAAAGCGUGGGGAGCAAACAGG
Molecule: ribosomal RNA, 253 nt
Filed under: uncultured bacterium
Lineage: Bacteria
Description: partial 16S ribosomal RNA
Rfam family: Bacterial small subunit ribosomal RNA
Source: RNAcentral